UCCCUGGUGGUCCAGUGGUUAGGACUUGGCGCUUUGACUGCCAAGGGCUCGGGUUCAAUCCCUGGUCGGGGAA
This is a non-coding RNA of Delphinapterus leucas (beluga whale), 73 nucleotides long. The record is from the annotation of a RefSeq genome assembly. NCBI's taxonomy places the organism in Eukaryota, Metazoa, Chordata, Mammalia, Artiodactyla, Monodontidae.